UUAGGGCUGAGAAGGCUUUAUGUACUAAAGAUUGCAUUGUACCUGAUUGGGGAUUCAUUAACAGUUAUGAUUGCCAUGAGCUUGGCAGAUCUGGUUUUGUUGGAAUUGUGAUGCUAUUGAGGUAAAAGUUGUCCAUAGCUCUGAUCAGGUAAUUCAUUAUAUCUUGUGAAAUCACUAUUUUUUUUUUUUUUUUUUUGAUAAGUACAUCUUGUGAAAUCACUAUGGUUAAUGGGGUAGUCUUUUUCUGCUUCUUUCACUUAUGGUUACAAUAAUGGAGAUACUAGAAGACAACUAUGGUCUGAUUUAUGUAACCUGAAAUGUCUUAUGUCUAGUGGGUAAGAAGCCUUGGGUGCUUGGUUGUUAUUUUAAACUGUGUAAGGGGUGCGGAGGAGAGAUUUAGGGUAAGAAAUCUUCUCUGUUUGAGGAUGAGUUUUGUCAAGGAUUUCAGGAGCUACAAGUGUUAGAUAUCAUCCAUACAUUGGUGCAAUAAGAGGAAGGAUGAUCAAUUUCUAGACAGGAUGUUAAACAGGGUGUUUUUUAAUUGUUAUUGGUUUGACUGUCUUCCCCAUACUAGGGUUGGAUUCAUUUUGCCAGGUGUUUCAGAUUAUGCUGCUGCUUAUAUGUCUUUACAUAAUGUCAUCAGUUAUGGCCCCAAGCCAUUCAAGUUCUUUGAUUUCUGGACAUAACAUCCUAAGUUUCUCGCACCAGAAAGCAAGCAGCAACUAAGGGAGUAGGGAACAGCAAGCAUAUGCUGAUAACUAGUGCUAUUUGGAGCAAAGAAAUUAAUGGUGUUCCCAUGUUUAGAUAUUGCAGGAAGACAAAGUCGCUUAAGGUUGAGCUGAAGAAGUUGAACCAGGAAUUUUUUGGUGGUCUUCCAUUAAAAGUCCAAAAAGCUAGAGAGGAUCUAGAGGAUGUACAAAGAAGACUUCUCCUCCAAGGUCAGCAGUCACUAUUACAGAAAGAUAGGGAGGAGCUUUACUGUUUCAUUGCUUUAAGUAAAGCUGGCCCCAAAACAGCUAACUUCCAUGAAAUUCUGAAUGUUAGAAAUGCAAAAAAUCAAAUUAGGUGCUUAUAUGAUGAAAAAAGGAGGAGAGUCCAAGAGUUGGCUAAUAGUUUCUACCAGAUAUUGUUUGGGUGUCCUGCAAGGACAGAUGAAAGCAAAUUGGAGAGCCUUUCACAGCUCAUACCAGAUAGUAUUCCUGAGGAUUAAAAACAAGUUCUUCAAAGGGAUGUUACUGUUGAUGAAAUCAAGUGGUCUAUAUUUUCAAUGAAACAGGACAAAGCCCUUGGUCCAGAUGGCUAUUCUGCUCAUUUUUUCAAGCAUGUGUGGGGAGGUUAUUAGAGGGGAUAUGCUUGCUGCUGUCAACUCCUUUUCCUCAGGCUCAGGAAUUGGUGAACGGCUAUCAUAAAAAGGGACCAGGUAGAUGUGAUAUUAAAGUACACCUAAUGAAGGCUAAUGACUCGGUGGACUGGAAAAUUAUUCUAAGGUGCUUGUCUGCCUGUGGUAUUCCUGAAAAAUUUGUGCAAUGAGUUGAGGUUUGCAUCACUUCACUUAAGUUCUCUGUUUUCUUUAAUGGUAGUCUUGUGGGGUAUUUCAAGGGUGGCAAAGGAUUGAGACAGCUGACAGCGUGAUCCUUUGUACCCCUAUUUGUUUGUUAUCACUAUGGAGGCUUUAUGAAGCUCAUGAUGUCUAAGGCUACAAAAGCAGUAGGCUACAAGUUUCAUCCUUGAUGUGAAAAGCUCCAACUGACCAUUUUAUGUUGGAUACUUGGACGAAUUCAAAAUUCCUUCAUGUCUUCAAGCCGAUAUCGGCAAGACUGAAGCCUUCUUUAGUGGGGAAUUUGAAGGUACAAAGGACCAGAUAUUAUCUUUCUUGUGGUUUAUUGAAGCCCAACUGCAUCUUAGAUAUUUAGGCUUGCAUUUGAUAUAUGGAAAACUGUUUAGUAGUGACUGCAAGCCUAUAAUUGAAAAGAUUUCAGCCAGAUAAAUUCCUGGGGUGCCAGAAAACUUUCUUUUGCAGAGAGGUUACAACUCAUACAAUGAUACAAUCUAUGCUCUGUGGUAUACAAGUUGAAUGAACUAAUAUCUUCAUUCUUCCAGUUAAAGUCUUCAAAGAGAUCAAAAGGUGCUUCAACAGAUUUUUAUGGACAGGUGCUGGUUCUAUGGUCCCUAGCAUCAGAGUUGCAUGAGAUGUGGAUUUCUCUCCUAGAUCAGGAGGAUCGGGGCUUAAAAAGUUCCAGGACUGGAAUAGGGCUGAUGACUGAUGUUUCUUGGCAUAUAUGGGAUCUCUUUACAGUGGCAGGUUCCUUGUGGGUCGCAUGGGUGCACACCUACCUCUUAAAAAGGCAAAAGCUUUUGGUAUGUCCACAUACCCAAUAGUUGCUUAUGGGGUUGGAGGAAGAUACUAAAGCUUAGAGACAUGGUUAAACCUUUGUUUAGCCAUUCUAUUGGUAAUGGAGUAAGAACUAUACUUUGGAAUGGUAACUGGCAUCCUAAAGGUGCCUCGUUUUCAGAGUUUGAAUUCAGAUUGGUAUAUGAAGCAAUGAGUAGUUAUGAUGCCAAAUUCUCGAGUAUUCUUCAAGAUGAUAACUUGAUCUAUCCCCCAGAUAGAUCAGAUGAGGUGAUAGUUUUUCAAGCUGGUCUUUCACAAGUUAGAAUAACAGGUGUUGAUUCUGUUCACUGGAUUCUCUCUAAAUCUAGUAUGUUCUCAUAUUCUUCUGUUUGGAAUAAAAUUCGAAUUAAACAUGAGAUAGUAAAUGGAGAUAAACUGAUUUGGCAACCUCUUUGUAUUCCUAAACACUCUUUUAUAAGUUGGCUAUCGCUUCUUAAACAGGGAUAUGAGGG
Molecule: long non-coding RNA, 2844 nt
Organism: Quercus robur (English oak)
Lineage: Eukaryota; Viridiplantae; Streptophyta; Magnoliopsida; Fagales; Fagaceae
Exons: 2
Source: RefSeq, a predicted model, not a curated record